RNAcentral lists this ribosomal RNA (357 nucleotides) under Triticum aestivum (bread wheat). RNAcentral describes it as "partial small subunit ribosomal RNA". Lineage: Eukaryota; Viridiplantae; Streptophyta; Magnoliopsida; Poales; Poaceae. The record is from RNAcentral.
AUGGCUAAAAGAGCCCCCAGACGCCCUCGUCCCCUGGAUCGAACCCUAGCGCCAUUCCUCCUUCCCCGCGCCACUUUUAUUCUCCCCUGCGCACACCCGAGCACCUCGUCGCCAUGGCCGUCGUCGAUUCACGCGCCCACCGUCGACCUCGGGCCCAAGGACCUUGUCCAGAAGAACCGGCACCGUCUGCUACAUCGCAUAUGCCGACCAGGUCGAGUUGGGAUCCCCAUCAACGAGCGCAUCAUCAUCUUCUUCCUUUGCCCGUCGGCGAUCUCCUUCGAUCCGCUGUCGUUCGUCCACCCCAGCAUCCACGAGCCGUCCACACGACCUCAGGAUGCUGGAAUCCAGGAGCUAUAG